RNAcentral lists this ribosomal RNA (402 nucleotides) under Ochyrocera sp. 506 FL-2019. Its description in RNAcentral is "partial large subunit ribosomal RNA". The record is from RNAcentral. Lineage: Eukaryota; Metazoa; Arthropoda; Arachnida; Araneae; Ochyroceratidae.
CCUGCUCCAUGAACUUAAAUAGCCGCUUCAUUGUGCUAAGGUAGCAUAAUAACUUGUUUCCUAAUUAGAAAAUAGAAUGAAAGGAUAAACGUACUAAUUCUAUCUUACUAAUAAAAUUUUAAAUUUAAAUAAAUAUAAAAAUGUAUUUAUUAAAUAGGGGGACGAUAAGACCCUACGAACUUAUCUUAAAGAUUAACUGGGGAAGUUAAAUAAACAAAUUUUACUUAAAAUUAAUUAUAAAAGCUUUAAAGAAACCAAAUAAAGUUACCAUAGGGAUAACAGCGCAAUUCAUAUCUUAAGACCUUAUACAAAUAUGACAUUACGACCUCGAUGUUGAAUUAAUAUUACUUUUAUACGCAUAAUUAUAAAAAGUUAGUCUGUUCGACUUGUUAAAUAUUACAU